This is a long non-coding RNA of Pseudopipra pipra, 520 nucleotides long. RefSeq lists it as uncharacterized. The record is from RefSeq and is a predicted model, not a curated record. The transcript has 3 exons. NCBI's taxonomy places the organism in Eukaryota, Metazoa, Chordata, Aves, Passeriformes, Pipridae.
AGCCAAUCUCGGGACAAGGAGGAGGUGGAUGUGUUGGGGGAGGCAUGGAUGUCCAUCGAGUGAAGAGGUCUGAGGUGGGUACCCCGAGUUCUGCUGGGCCCAGACCCUCCCCUCUCAUGGCCACCACCCUCCCUGGCAUCCCAGUGUGCCCCAGUCCAGCCCAGUGUGCCCCAGUCCAGCCCAGUGUGCCCCAGUACAGCCCAGUGUGUCCCAGUCCAGCCCAGUGUGUCCCAGUCCAGCCCAGUAUGUCCCAGUGCACCCCAGUGUGUCCCAGUUUACCCCAGUGUGUCUCUAACCCUGCCUUUGUCCCCAGCCCCCCGUGGCUGACCAGGUGGAGCUGAUGCGCCAGUGACGCUCGGCUGCCUCUCUGCAUGUCCAGGACUGGAAGUGGUGGUGACACCCGUGUCCUGGCCCCCUCCAACGGCAUGAGGAGAUGAUCAUCCCUGGAGGACCCCCCUGAUCCCCUGGGUGCCCUGGCAAUUUCCCUGCAAGAAUCAAUAAACCCCUGCAGCAAAACAAA